Molecule: non-coding RNA, 381 nt
Organism: Malaclemys terrapin pileata
Lineage: Eukaryota; Metazoa; Chordata; Testudines; Emydidae
Source: the annotation of a RefSeq genome assembly
AUGAAAUCCAUACUUAGAUUCCUUCUACUGUUGGCCACCCCCUGGUGGGUCCUGUCACAAGUGCAGCUGGUGGAGUCAGGGCCCAGGACUGUAAAACCCUCAGAGACUCUCAGCCUCACCUGCUCCAUCUCAGGCGCCUCCUCGGACACCCUGGGCAGUAGUUGUUGCUGGUGGCACUGGAUCCGGCAGAGUCCCGGGAAAGGGCUGGAAUGGAUGGGGGAUAUAGAGCAAGGGGGAACAAAAUACUACGCCUCUUCCCUCCAGAGUCGCAUCACCAUCUCCGAGAACCCUUCCAAGAACCAGUUCUCCCUGGAGCUCCGCUCGCUGACAGCUGCAGAUACCGGCACCUAUUACUGCGCCAGGAGCUAUACAGUGACAUAG